CGGUGGGGGAGGCGGCGUGGGGCCCGGACCGAGCGGAGCGCGCUCCCGGCGGACGCGGCGCGGCGCCCAGCGCGAGGGUCCGGGAUGGGCAGCGAUCAGUCUUCCCAGGUCUGUGGCGUCGUCCCAGGGUUCAGACUCCAGCACUGCCUUUCGCGGGAGGGCGGGGGCAGCCCCGGGGCGGCCUCGGCCGGGCGCUGGAGAGCCCGUUGCGCGCAGGAAGUACGAUCCCGCUCGGGCCGCUCACCGUCCCCAGGGUUCGCCGGAACCCGCAGGGUUAACAGGGGCUAGUGGGUCCCGGGCGCGAGGAGAGGCCGUCCGACCCCGGAGGGUCUCCACGCAGCACGCGGGCGGGUCUGCGCCAGCGGCCCGGAGCCCCGCC
This 379-nucleotide long non-coding RNA is filed under the name Rattus norvegicus (Norway rat). Its description in RNAcentral is "long non-coding RNA NONRATT025343". Lineage: Eukaryota; Metazoa; Chordata; Mammalia; Rodentia; Muridae. The record is from RNAcentral.